AUUGAACGCUGGCGGCAUGCCUUACACAUGCAAGUCGAACGGCAGCAUGAUCUAGCUUGCUAGAUUGAUGGCGAGUGGCGAACGGGUGAGUAGUACAUCGGAACGUGCCCUGUAGUGGGGGAUAACUAGUCGAAAGAUUAGCUAAUACCGCAUACGACCUGAGGGUGAAAGUGGGGGACCGCAAGGCCUCGCUAUAGGAGCGGCCGAUGUCUGAUUAGCUAGUUGGUGAGGUAAAGGCUCACCAAGGCGACGAUCAGUAGCUGGUCUGAGAGGACGAUCAGCCACACUGGGACUGAGACACGGCCCAGACUCCUACGGGAGGCAGCAGUGGGGAAUUUUGGACAAUGGGCGAAAGCCUGAUCCAGCAAUGCCGCGUGUGUGAAGAAGGCCUUCGGGUUGUAAAGCACUUUUGUCCGGAAAGAAAUGGCUCUGGUUAAUACCUGGGGUCGAUGACGGUACCGGAAGAAUAAGGACCGGCUAACUACGUG
Molecule: ribosomal RNA, 488 nt
Filed under: uncultured bacterium
Lineage: Bacteria
Description: partial 16S ribosomal RNA
Rfam family: Bacterial small subunit ribosomal RNA
Source: RNAcentral